This 1345-nucleotide ribosomal RNA is filed under the name uncultured bacterium. Its description in RNAcentral is "partial 16S ribosomal RNA". It matches the Rfam family "Bacterial small subunit ribosomal RNA", at positions 28 to 1381 of the family's 1533-position model. The record is from RNAcentral.
GACGAACGCUGGCGGCGUGCUUAACACAUGCAAGUCGAACGGAAAGGCCCUGCUUUUGUGGGGUGCUCGAGUGGCGAACGGGUGAGUAACACGUGAGUAACCUGCCCUUGACUUUGGGAUAACUUCAGGAAACUGGGGCUAAUACCGGAUAGGAGCUCCUGCUGCAUGGUGGGGGUUGGAAAGUUUCGGCGGUUGGGGAUGGACUCGCGGCUUAUCAGCUUGUUGGUGGGGUAGUGGCUUACCAAGGCUUUGACGGGUAGCCGGCCUGAGAGGUGACCGGCCACAUUGGGACUGAGAUACGGCCCAGACUCCUACGGGAGGCAGCAGUGGGGAAUAUUGCACAAUGGGCGGAAGCCUGAUGCAGCAACGCCGCGUGCGGGAUGACGGCCUUCGGGUUGUAAACCGCUUUCGCCUGUGACGAAGCGUGAGUGACGGUAAUGGGUAAAGAAGCACCGGCUAACUACGUGCCAGCAGCCGCGGUGAUACGUAGGGUGCGAGCGUUGUCCGGAUUUAUUGGGCGUAAAGGGCUCGUAGGUGGUUGAUCGCGUCGGAAGUGUAAUCUUGGGGCUUAACCCUGAGCGUGCUUUCGAUACGGGUUGACUUGAGGAAGGUAGGGGAGAAUGGAAUUCCUGGUGGAGCGGUGGAAUGCGCAGAUAUCAGGAGGAACACCAGUGGCGAAGGCGGUUCUCUGGGCCUUUCCUGACGCUGAGGAGCGAAAGCGUGGGGAGCGAACAGGCUUAGAUACCCUGGUAGUCCACGCUGUAAACGGUGGGUACUAGGUGUGGGGUCCAUUCCACGGGUUCCGUGCCGUAGCUAACGCUUUAAGUACCCCGCCUGGGGAGUACGGCCGCAAGGCUAAAACUCAAAGGAAUUGACGGGGCCCCGCACAAGCGGCGGAGCAUGCGGAUUAAUUCGAUGCAACGCGUAGAACCUUACCUGGGUUUGACAUGGAUCGGGAGUGCUCAGAGAUGGGUGUGCCUCUUUUGGGGUCGGUUCACAGGUGGUGCAUGCCUGUCGUCAGCUCGUGUCGUGAGAUGUUGGGUUAAGUCCCGCAACGAGCGCAACCCUUGUUCACUGUUGCCAGCACGUUAUGGUGGGGACUCAGUGGAGACCGCCGGGGUCAACUCGGAGGAAGGUGGGGAUGACGUCAAGUCAUCAUGCCCCUUAUGUCUAGGGCUUCACGCAUGCUACAAUGGCUGGUACAGAGAGUGGCGAGCCUGUGAGGGUGAGCGAAUCUCGGAAAGCCGGUCUCAGUUCGGAUUGGGGUCUGCAACUCGACCUCAUGAAGUCGGAGUCGCUAGUAAUCGCAGAUCAGCAACGCUGCGGUGAAUACGUUCCCGGGGCU